RNAcentral lists this ribosomal RNA (253 nucleotides) under uncultured bacterium. Its description in RNAcentral is "partial 16S ribosomal RNA". It matches the Rfam family "Bacterial small subunit ribosomal RNA", at positions 524 to 776 of the family's 1533-position model. The record is from RNAcentral.
UACGUAGGUGGCAAGCGUUGUCCGGAAUUAUUGGGCGUAAAGGCGCUGUAGGCGGAUGUUAAGUCCUGUGUGAAAGCCCUUGGCUUAACCAAGGAAGUGCGCAGGAAACUGGCGGACUUGAGUGCCGGAGAGGGUCGCGGAAUUCCCGGUGUAGAGGUAGAAAUUCGUAGAUAUCGGGAGGAACACCAGUGGCGAAGGCAACGACCUGGACGGACACUGACGUUGAGACGCGAAAGCGUGGGGAGCAAACAGG